Small nuclear RNA from Hyaena hyaena (striped hyena), 148 nucleotides. RefSeq annotates it as U4 spliceosomal RNA. The transcript has a single exon. The record is from RefSeq and is a predicted model, not a curated record. Lineage: Eukaryota; Metazoa; Chordata; Mammalia; Carnivora; Hyaenidae.
AGCUUUGCGCAGUGGCACUAUCGUAGCCAAUGAGGUUUAUCCGAGGCGCGAUUAUUGCUAAUAGACUAGAGUGGGAAGAGGUGAGACGGGGUGUCCUCGGUGCACUGUGUAGUGAGCAUGAGAGAGGAUUCUGUGAUGGGCAGAGCCC